UACGUAGGGUGCGAGCGUUGUCCGGAAUUACUGGGCGUAAAGAGCUCGUAGGUGGUUUGUCGCGUUGUCCGUGAAAUUCCCUGGCUUAACUGGGGGCGUGCGGGCGAUACGGGCAGACUGGAGUACCUGCAGGGGAGACUGGAAUUCCUGGUGUAGCGGUGGAAUGCGCAGAUAUCAGGGAGGAACACCGGUGGCGAAGGCGG
Molecule: ribosomal RNA, 203 nt
Filed under: uncultured bacterium
Lineage: Bacteria
Description: partial 16S ribosomal RNA
Rfam family: Bacterial small subunit ribosomal RNA
Source: RNAcentral